Molecule: long non-coding RNA, 230 nt
Filed under: Mytilus galloprovincialis (Mediterranean mussel)
Lineage: Eukaryota; Metazoa; Mollusca; Bivalvia; Mytilida; Mytilidae
Source: RNAcentral
ACAAUAUAUCAAAAUGACAAACACAUUUUUUUUUAAAGUAAGGCACACUAUAUUAAAAUGUUAAACACAAUAUAUUAGAAUAAUAUGCUUCACAUCUGUUUAACCACAAUUUCCACAUUUUAAAAAUCCUUUUCCUGCAAAUAUCGAAUCAGAUUUUAACAACACGCCUAAGAGAAAUAAAAAGUUCAGUAAAAACAUACGAAGGUACCCCCCCCCCCAAAUUUAAAAAA